CAGGCACUUGCAGCAUCCCUUUAAAUAUUCUAGAUUUCAACAUUAUUUUUUAUUGAAUUGCAAUUGGCAGAAACAGGAAUUGUUUGGUCAGCAUGAUUUCAAGCGUUAAAGGGAGAUUUUGAAAGCAAAUAUAUAUAUAGCAACAGUGACUACAUGUUAUUAUUAUUAUUUAUAAAACACCAACAGAUUCCGCAGCGCUGGACUAACAAUGAAUGAAUAAGCAAUAAAUGGACUAACAGACAUGUAUUUGUAACCAGACAAGUUGGAUGCACAGGAACAGAGGGGGUUGAGGGCCCUGUUCAAUAAGCUUACAUGCUAGAGGGAGUGGGGUAAAGUGACACAAAAGGUAGGUUGCUAGAAUAGUGUUCACUGAAGGCUUAGUGUUUUGUAUUUUUUUAAAUGUAUUAUUUCAUUUUUUUACGACAGUAGCAGGAAUGGGAUCAGGCUGCAGGGAGGGAAAGCUAGUAACAGUUUAAUUGAUAUGCUUUACUGAAGAAGUGAGUUUCCAAUGAUUUUUUGAAGUAAUGAAGACUGGGUUAAAGUCUAAUGGAAAAGGAAAGGGAGUUCCACAGGAACGGUGCAUCCCUAGAGAAGUCUUGAAGGUAAACAUCAGAGGUGAGAGUAAGAAAAGAGGAUAUGAGUAGGUCUUCAAUAGAGCAUAGGGACCUAGACAAGGCAUAUGGGACAGACAGUUAUUAGGAAAUUAGGGAGGAUAGGUACAUUACAUAGAGAUUUGUAGGCAAAUACCAGAAUUUUAAAUUAAUCCCUAUAUUUUACAGGAAGCCAAUAUAGGGACUGACAAAGGGAGGAAGCAUAGGGGGUGCAGACAGACAGGAAGAUGAGCCUCGCCACUGCAUUCAUUACAGACUGUAACAGGGGCAAGUUCGGUACAUGUAAGACAACUAAGAAGUUUAUUGCAGAAGUCAAGGCGAGAGAGGAUAAGCAGCAUGGACCAGCACCUUAGCCAUAUCCAGCGUUAAGUAGGGGCGGAUGUGUGCUAAGUUUUUGAGAUGGAAACGGCAGGAUUUGGCAAUCAACUGGACAUGAAGGGUGAAGGAGAGGCAGUGAGCCUUCU
This is a non-coding RNA of Pelobates cultripes (western spadefoot toad), 1075 nucleotides long. NCBI's taxonomy places the organism in Eukaryota, Metazoa, Chordata, Amphibia, Anura, Pelobatidae. The record is from the annotation of a GenBank genome assembly.